CCUACGGGUGGCAGCAGUGAGGAAUAUUGGUCAAUGGGCGGAAGCCUGAACCAGCCAAGUAGCGUGCAGGAUGACGGCCCUACGGGUUGUAAACUGCUUUUAUACGGGAAUAACGCGCCUUACGUGUAGGGCUUUGCAUGUACCGGAUGAAUAAGGACCGGCUAAUUCCGUGCCAGCAGCCGCGGUAAUACGGAAGGUCCGGGCGUUAUCCGGAUUUAGUGGGUUUAAAGGGAGCGUAGGCCGCAUGUCAAGCGUGCUGUGAAAUGGUCGGGCCUAACCCCGGCCGUGCAGCGCGAACGGGCGUGCUAGAGUCCGCGGAAAGCAGGCGGAAUUCGUCGUGUAGCGGUGAAAUGCUUAGAUAUGACGAAGAACCCCGAUUGCGAAGGCAGCUUGCUGCAGCGGAACUGACGCUGAUGCUCGAAAGCGCGGGUAUCGAACAGGAUUAGAUACCCUUGUAGUC
This 460-nucleotide ribosomal RNA is filed under the name uncultured bacterium. RNAcentral's name for it is "partial 16S ribosomal RNA". It matches the Rfam family "Bacterial small subunit ribosomal RNA", at positions 338 to 795 of the family's 1533-position model. The record is from RNAcentral.